GCGGAAGUGGUGGAAUGGUAGACACGCUAGUUUCAGGAGCUAGUGGGUGCAAGCCUGUGGGGGUUCAAGUCCCCCCUUCCGC
This 82-nucleotide transfer RNA is filed under the name Chitinispirillaceae bacterium. Its description in RNAcentral is "tRNA-Leu". It matches the Rfam family "tRNA". Rfam says of the family: Transfer RNA (tRNA) molecules are approximately 80 nucleotides in length. Their secondary structure includes four short double-helical elements and three loops (D, anti-codon, and T loops). The record is from RNAcentral. Lineage: Bacteria; Pseudomonadati; Fibrobacterota; Chitinispirillia; Chitinispirillales; Chitinispirillaceae.